CUGAAGUAUAUAAUAAUAUAAGAGCACUAUAUCAUUGGAAUGGACACAUAAUGUUCAUUAAAUGGUAAGAGAACAACCUUUGCAGUUAUAUCCUUUGUGUCAAAAACAUACAAGUGUUCAGGUGCUUUCAUUGACACAAUAACAUGGAAACAAUUUCAGGGGAAGCAACUUCUGCAUGACAAUAGCACUGUGAAAGUGUUAUGUUCACUGCAGUUACAAUAUCACUUUUCUCAACUUCAGAAAAUUCAGUCUUUUUACUGAAGACAUAGCUGGGGGCAAAUAUUACCAUUUCAGGGGAAGCAACUUCUGCAUGACAAUAGCACUGUGAAAGUGUUAUGUUCACUGCAGUUACAAUAUCACUUUUCUCAACUUCAGAAAAUUCAGUCUUUUUACUGAAGUAUAUAAUAAUAUAAGAGCACUAUAUCAUUGGAAUGGACACAUAAUGUUCAUUAAAUGGUAAGAGAACAACCUUUGCAGUUAUAUCCUUUGUGUCAAAAACAUACAAGUGUUCAGGUGCUUUCAUUGACACAAUAACAUGGAAACAAUUUCAGGGGAAGCAACUUCUGCAUGACAAUAGCACUGUGAAAGUGUUAUGUUCACUGCAGUUACAAUAUCACUUUUCUCAACUUCAGAAAAUUCAGUCUUUUUACUGAAGACAUAGCUGGGGGCAAAUAUUACCAUUUCAGGGGAAGCAACUUCUGCAUGACAAUAGCACUGUGAAAGUGUUAUGUUCACUGCAGUUACAAUAUCACUUUUCUCAACUUCAGAAAAUUCAGUCUUUUUACUGAAGUAUAUAAUAAUAUAAGAGCACUAUAUCAUUGGAAUGGACACAUAAUGUUCAUUAAAUGGUAAGAGAACAACCUUUGCAGUUAUAUCCCUUGUGUCAAAAACAUACAAGUGUUCAGGUGCUUUAAUUGACACAAUAACAUGGAAACAAUUUCAGGGGAAGCAACUUCUGCAUGACAAUAGCACUGUGAAAGUGUUAUGUUCACUGCAGUUACAAUAUCACUUUUCUCAACUUCAGAAAAUUCAGUCUUUUUACUGAAGUAUAUAAUAAUAUAAGAGCACUAUAUCAUUGGAAUGGACACAUAAUGUUCAUUAAAUGGUAAGAGAACAACCUUUGCAGUUAUAUCCUUUGUGUCAAAAACAUACAAGUGUUCAGAUGCUUUCAUUGACACAAUAACAUGGAAACAAUUUCAGGGGAAGCAACUUCUGCAUGACAAUAGCACUGUGAAAGUGUUAUGUUCACUGCAGUUACAAUAUCACUUUUCUCAACUUCAGAAAAUUCAGUCUUUUUACUGAAGACAUAGCUGGGGGCAAAUAUUACCAUUUCAGGGGAAGCAACUUCUGCAUGACAAUAGCACUGUGAAAGUGUUAUGUUCACUGCAGUUACAAUAUCACUUUUCUCAACUUCAGAAAAUUCAGUCUUUUUACUGAAGUAUAUAAUAAUAUAAGAGCACUAUAUCAUUGGAAUGGACACAUAAUGUUCAUUAAAUGGUAAGAGAACAACCUUUGCAGUUAUAUCCCUUGUGUCAAAAACAUACAAGUGUUCAGAUGCUUUAAUUGACACAAUAACAUGGAAACAAUUUCAGGGGAAGCAACUUCUGCAUGACAAUAGCACUGUGAAAGUGUUAUGUUCACUGCAGUUACAAUAUCACUUUUCUCAACUUCAGAAAAUUCAGUCUUUUUACUGAAGUAUAUAAUAAUAUAAGAGCACUAUAUCAUUGGAAUGGACACAUAAUGUUCAUUAAAUGGUAAGAGAACAACCUUUGCAGUUAUAUCCUUUGUGUCAAAAACAUACAAGUGUUCAGGUGCUUUCAUUGACACAAUAACAUGGAAACAAUUUCAGGGGAAGCAACUUCUGCAUGACAAUAGCACUGUGAAAGUGUUAUGUUCACUGCAGUUACAAUAUCACUUUUCUCAACUUCAGAAAAUUCAGUCUUUUUACUGAAGUAUAUAAUAAUAUAAGAGCACUAUAUCAUUGGAAUGGACACAUAAUGUUCAUUAAAUGGUAAGAGAACAACCUUUGCAGUUAUAUCCCUUGUGUCAAAAACAUACAAGUGUUCAGGUGCUUUCAUUGACACAAUAACAUGGAAACAAUUUCAGGGGAAGCAACUUCUGCAUGACAAUAGCACUGUGAAAGUGUUAUGUUCACUGCAGUUACAAUAUCACUUUUCUCAACUUCAGAAAAUUCAGUCUUUUUACUGAAGUAUAUAAUAAUAUAAGAGCACUAUAUCAUUGGAAUGGACACAUAAUGUUCAUUAAAUGGUAAGAGAACAACCUUUGCAGUUAUAUCCCUUGUGUCAAAAACAUACAAGUGUUCACCAAGGUUGCUGACGACAGAUAUAUUCACCUUGAGAGAAUCAAAAGGAUAAUCAAAGAAGCAUUGUCGAUCACCAAAUUUUUGGCAAACACAGAGUCUCAAAUUAUCUUGACAUAUCACAUUCUUAAUUAUGUAUGUGUCUUUUCCAAUAAGUACCGAAUUGUCUGGUGCUUUAAUUGACAACAAAAAAUUUGGCAUCUGAAUUUGUUCAAACUGAGUGCAGAAAGCAGAAAUAUCUGAAAGAGGCCCUUUACAAUGUUUCUUUUUACAAUAUAUUCUACUUUUUUUUUCAGCCGACACCAGAUGCAUCUUUUCUCUUAAACGACGAACAACCUGUUCAAGAGGAUAUUUAGGUUUCCUAAUUAAUCUUUUCAGUGUCUGAAGAUAGUUUUCAAAUGGGAAUCCUGAAAAGUUGUGUAGUGGCCCAAAUCGCCUCGAGCAUGCUGGUAGGUGUAUCAAAGCAUGAACAUUGUAUACAAGCAUUUCUCGACCAUACAGCUGGCCAAAAUGUUGGACAAAAGAAACAAAGAGUUCUUCAACAUAAUCAACACACUGAGAAUAUAGACUACUGUUGCAAAGCAGAGAAACCCCGGCGGAAAGCAUCAUGAAGUUUUUAUAGACAAUAUCGGACACUGUCGCUUUUAAGCAUACAGGUCCCGUAUAUAAAAGGAAUGUCCUAAGUUCAGUCGCUUUCCAUCUUUCAAUUUCAUCAAGUCUUCUUCCUUUACGAGCAAAUUCUCUUGGCAAAAAAGAUCCAAGGGCCAAAAUAGCAUUUGACAGCAAGUUGGUUUUGGCAGCUCCGAUGCGGACAUGUAAUGGUCCUUUAGUCCAAAUGUUUAAGAUUUUUUUAACAAUGCCUAAACAAAUCAGAUGCAUAUAGUCGAGAGGAAAUUGUGUGACCAUCCCUAUGUUUAAUUCCCUCAACUUUGAUACACCACGAUGAUGUUCUUCACAGGUCAUCUCAUCAAAAGCAACGUUUGUCCUUAAUCUGGCCUUAACAUCAGGAAAUGUCAUUCUGUGCAUUACAUACUCUCCAGGUUGUUCACAGUAGUCACAUGCAUAGUAGCCACUAUGACCUUUUGUUAGUUUGACCAUUGAACGUGCAGGUGUAUCACACACAAAAUUUUCAAUGGUAACCUUAUGUACUUUAUUGCCAACAGUUACACCACUGACCAUGAUUGCCUUCAUUUCAUCAAUGAAAUACUGCAGCAAUGUUCUCCCAUCCUUGGGAAGUGAAGGGAAAAAAGGCCUGAGUAGAGCAAGUAGGGUGUUUGUAUGUGCUAAUGGCGUUGAACUGUUGAGGACCCAUUCUCUAAGCUUGUCCCUGAAGUUGUCUGAUUCGUCGCCCAAUGAUUCUACGUCACUGUCACAACUAGACUCGCUUUCACUGUUUGGAUCAUUUCCAAAAACACCUGCAUCUGAAUCACAGUCUACAUCACUAACUGCAAAAGCUUCUUCCUCAUGGGCAACAUUACAAACUGGAUCAUCACAAUUGUCAUCAUUCAACAUGAAAGUGUCAAAGUCCUGAACACCAUAAUUAUUUUCCUGAUUUAUGUCAUCGCAAGCUUUAUUAUUUCUUUCUAAUUCUAAAACUGUUAUCAUUUCUUCAGCCUUGAUGGCAGAUUGACGACGAAUGGUCCUGUCAGAAAGUAUUCUAUCUUUAUUCAUGGUGACUGAAUUCAUCUGUAACAGAGUCAGGGUGAAGUUAAGUCUCAGGAUUGUAUAAUAUUUAUCCCUUAAAGUAAUGUUCAAACAAAAAGGAGAGUUUCAGUGGCUCAUAUAUAUAUUUUGUAGCCUCGAUCUGUGAAUACAAUCAUAUUGAACAUUGAUAAAUAUCCAUAGUGUAAUUUAUUGUGUGAAAAAAUAUGUGAAAGGGUUGGGAAUCCUGUUUUGUUAUUUAAAAAUAUGACACUAUUUGGAAACAAAUUAAAAUUACUUAAUGAGUAAAACCUUUGGGAAUUUUGACAUGUACCAUUGGAAAAAGUCCAUAUUUGAUCAUUUAGAAAUAUCUAGAAAUUUAGUAGCAAAUUAAAACUACCUAAUGAGUCAAACUUUUGGGGAUUUUGACUUGUAACCACAAUGUACCAUCGGUAAACAAAAUCACAUAGAAAUAUCUCAACGCUUGGGAACAAACUAAAACUUGACAUUUUGACCUAUACCCACAAUGAACCAUUGGGGAAAAUCCUGUUUUGUCUAGAAAAGAAUAGCUCAACAUUGAGAAAUAGAUUAAAACUACCUAGCGAGUAAAAGCUUUGGGAAUUUUGACUUGUAACCACAAUGUACUAUUGUAAAUAAAUCUUUUUUUGACAUUUAGAAAUAUCUCAAUAAUUAGAAACAAAUUAAAAUUACUUAAUGAGUAAAACCUUUGGGAAUUUUGACAUGUACCAUUGGAAAAAGUCCAUAUUUGGUCAUUUAGAAAUAUCUCGAAAUUUAGUAGCAAAUUAAAACUACCUAAUGAGUCAAACUUUUGGGGAUUUUGACUUGUAACCACAAUGUACCAUCGGUAAACAAAAUCACAUAGAAAUAUCUCAACGCUUGGGAACAAACUAAAACUUGACAUUUUGACCUAUACCCACAAUGAACCAUUGGUGAAAAUCCUGUUUUGUCUAGAAAAGAAUAGCUCAACAUUGAGAAAUAGAUUAAAACUACCUAGCGAGUAAAAGCUUUGGGAAUUUGACUUGUAACCACAAUGUACUAUUGUAAAUAAAUCUUUUUUUGACAUUUAGAAAUAUCUCAAUAAUUAGAAACAAAUUAAAAUUACUUAAUGAGUAAAACCUUUGGGAAUUUUGACAUGUACCAUUGGAAAAAGUCCAUAUUUGGUCAUUUAGAAAUAUCUCGAAAUUUAGUAGCAAAUUAAAACUACCUAAUGAGUCAAACUUUUGGGGAUUUUGACUUGUAACCACAAUGUACCAUCGGUAAACAAAAUCACAUAGAAAUAUCUCAACGCUUGGGAACAAACUAAAACUUGACAUUUUGACCUAUACCCACAAUGAACCAUUGGGGAAAAUCCUGUUUUGUCUAGAAAAGAAUAGCUCAACAUUGAGAAAUAGAUUAAAACUACCUAGCGAGUAAAAGCUUUGGGAAUUUUGACUUGUAACCACAAUGUACUAUUGUAAAUAAAUCUUUUUUUGACAUUUAGAAAUAUCUCAAUAAUUAGAAACAAAUUAAAAUUACUUAAUGAGUAAAACCUUUGGGAAUUUUGACAUGUACCAUUGGAAAAAGUCCAUAUUUGGUCAUUUAGAAAUAUCUCGAAAUUUAGUAGCAAAUUAAAACUACCUAAUGAGUCAAACUUUUGGGGAUUUUGACUUGUAACCACAUUGUACCAUCGGUAAACAAAAUCACAUAGAAAUAUCUCAACGCUUGGGAACAAACUAAAACUUGACAUUUUGACCUAUACCCACAAUGAACCAUUGGGGAAAAUCCUGUUUUGUCUAGAAAAGAAUAGCUCAACAUUGAGAAAUAGAUUAAAACUACCUAGCGAGUAAAAGCUUUGGGAAUUUUGACUUGUAACCACAAUGUACUAUUGUAAAUAAAUCUUUUUUUGACAUUUAGAAAUAUCUCAAUAAUUAGAAACAAAUUAAAAUUACUUAAUGAGUAAAACCUUUGGGAAUUUUGACAUGUACCAUUGGAAAAAGUCCAUAUUUGGUCAUUUAGAAAUAUCUCGAAAUUUAGUAGCAAAUUAAAACUACCUAAUGAGUCAAACUUUUGGGGAUUUUGACUUGUAACCACAAUGUACCAUCGGUAAACAAAAUCACAUAGAAAUAUCUCAACGCUUGGGAACAAACUAAAACUUGACAUUUUGACCUAUACCCACAAUGAACCAUUGGUGAAAAUCCUGUUUUGUCUAGAAAAGAAUAGCUCAACAUUGAGAAAUAGAUUAAAACUACCUAGCGAGUAAAAGCUUUGGGAAUUUUGACUUGUAACCACAAUGUACUAUUGUAAAUAAAUCUUUUUUUGACAUUUAGAAAUAUCUCAAUAAUUAGAAACAAAUUAAAAUUACUUAAUGAGUAAAACCUUUGGGAAUUUUGACAUGUACCAUUGGAAAAAGUCCAUAUUUGGUCAUUUAGAAAUAUCUCGAAAUUUAGUAGCAAAUUAAAACUACCUAAUGAGUCAAACUUUUGGGGAUUUUGACUUGUAACCACAAUGUACCAUCGGUAAACAAAAUCACAUAAAAAUAUCUCAACGCUUGGGAACAAACUAAAACUUGACAUUUUGACCUAUACCCACAAUGAACCAUUGGGGAAAAUCCUGUUUUGUCUAGAAAAGAAUAGCUCAACAUUGAGAAAUAGAUUAAAACUACCUAGCGAGUAAAAGCUUUGGGAAUUUUGACUUGUAACCACAAUGUACUAUUGUAAAUAAAUCUUUUUUUGACAUUUAGAAAUAUCUCAAUAAUUAGAAACAAAUUAAAAUUACUUAAUGAGUAAAACCUUUGGGAAUUUUGACAUGUACCAUUGGAAAAAGUCCAUAUUUGGUCAUUUAGAAAUAUCUCGAAAUUUAGUAGCAAAUUAAAACUACCUAAUGAGUCAAACUUUUGGGGAUUUUGACUUGUAACCACAAUGUACCAUCGGUAAACAAAAUCACAUAAAAAUAUCUCAACGCUUGGGAACAAACUAAAACUUGACAUUUUGACCUAUACCCACAAUGAACCAUUGGGGAAAAUCCUGUUUUGUCUAGAAAAGAAUAGCUCAACAUUGAGAAAUAGAUUAAAACUACCUAGCGAGUAAAAGCUUUGGGAAUUUUGACUUGUAACCACAAUGUACUAUUGUAAAUAAAUCUUUUUUUGACAUUUAGAAAUAUCUCAAUAAUUAGAAACAAAUUAAAAUUACUUAAUGAGUAAAACCUUUGGGAAUUUUGACAUGUACCAUUGGAAAAAGUCCAUAUUUGGUCAUUUAGAAAUAUCUCGAAAUUUAGUAGCAAAUUAAAACUACCUAAUGAGUCAAACUUUUGGGGAUUUUGACUUGUAACCACAAUGUACCAUCGGUAAACAAAAUCACAUAGAAAUAUCUCAACGCUUGGGAACAAACUAAAACUUGACAUUUUGACCUAUACCCACAAUGAACCAUUGGUGAAAAUCCUGUUUUGUCUAGAAAAGAAUAGCUCAACAUUGAGAAAUAGAUUAAAACUACCUAGCGAGUAAAAGCUUUGGGAAUUUUGACUUGUAACCACAAUGUACUAUUGUAAAUAAAUCUUUUUUUGACAUUUAGAAAUAUCUCAAUAAUUAGAAACAAAUUAAAAUUACUUAAUGAGUAAAACCUUUGGGAAUUUUGACAUGUACCAUUGGAAAAAGUCCAUAUUUGGUCAUUUAGAAAUAUCUCGAAAUUUAGUAGCAAAUUAAAACUACCUAAUGAGUCAAACUUUUGGGGAUUUUGACUUGUAACCACAAUGUACCAUCGGUAAACAAAAUCACAUAGAAAUAUCUCAACGCUUGGGAACAAACUAAAACUUGACAUUUUGACCUAUACCCACAAUGAACCAUUGGGGAAAAUCCUGUUUUGUCUAGAAAAGAAUAGCUCAACAUUGAGAAAUAGAUUAAAACUACCUAGCGAGUAAAAGCUUUGGGAAUUUUGACUUGUAACCACAAUGUACUAUUGUAAAUAAAUCUUUUUUUGACAUUUAGAAAUAUCUCAAUAAUUAGAAACAAAUUAAAAUUACUUAAUGAGUAAAACCUUUGGGAAUUUUGACAUGUACCAUUGGAAAAAGUCCAUAUUUGGUCAUUUAGAAAUAUCUCGAAAUUUAGUAGCAAAUUAAAACUACCUAAUGAGUCAAACUUUUGGGGAUUUUGACUUGUAACCACAAUGUACCAUCGGUAAACAAAAUCACAUAGAAAUAUCUCAACGCUUGGGAACAAACUAAAACUUGACAUUUUGACCUAUACCCACAAUGAACCAUUGGUGAAAAUCCUGUUUUGUCUAGAAAAGAAUAGCUCAACAUUGAGAAAUAGAUUAAAACUACCUAGCGAGUAAAAGCUUUGGGAAUUUGACUUGUAACCACAAUGUACUAUUGUAAAUAAAUCUUUUUUUGACAUUUAGAAAUAUCUCAAUAAUUAGAAACAAAUUAAAAUUACUUAAUGAGUAAAACCUUUGGGAAUUUUGACAUGUACCAUUGGAAAAAGUCCAUAUUUGGUCAUUUAGAAAUAUCUCGAAAUUUAGUAGCAAAUUAAAACUACCUAAUGAGUCAAACUUUUGGGGAUUUUGACUUGUAACCACAAUGUACCAUCGGUAAACAAAAUCACAUAGAAAUAUCUCAACGCUUGGGAACAAACUAAAACUUGACAUUUUGACCUAUACCCACAAUGAACCAUUGGGGAAAAUCCUGUUUUGUCUAGAAAAGAAUAGCUCAACAUUGAGAAAUAGAUUAAAACUACCUAGCGAGUAAAAGCUUUGGGAAUUUUGACUUGUAACCACAAUGUACUAUUGUAAAUAAAUCUUUUUUUGACAUUUAGAAAUAUCUCAAUAAUUAGAAACAAAUUAAAAUUACUUAAUGAGUAAAACCUUUGGGAAUUUUGACAUGUACCAUUGGAAAAAGUCCAUAUUUGGUCAUUUAGAAAUAUCUCGAAAUUUAGUAGCAAAUUAAAACUACCUAAUGAGUCAAACUUUUGGGGAUUUUGACUUGUAACCACAUUGUACCAUCGGUAAACAAAAUCACAUAGAAAUAUCUCAACGCUUGGGAACAAACUAAAACUUGACAUUUUGACCUAUACCCACAAUGAACCAUUGGGGAAAAUCCUGUUUUGUCUAGAAAAGAAUAGCUCAACAUUGAGAAAUAGAUUAAAACUACCUAGCGAGUAAAAGCUUUGGGAAUUUUGACUUGUAACCACAAUGUACUAUUGUAAAUAAAUCUUUUUUUGACAUUUAGAAAUAUCUCAAUAAUUAGAAACAAAUUAAAAUUACUUAAUGAGUAAAACCUUUGGGAAUUUUGACAUGUACCAUUGGAAAAAGUCCAUAUUUGGUCAUUUAGAAAUAUCUCGAAAUUUAGUAGCAAAUUAAAACUACCUAAUGAGUCAAACUUUUGGGGAUUUUGACUUGUAACCACAAUGUACCAUCGGUAAACAAAAUCACAUAAAAAUAUCUCAACGCUUGGGAACAAACUAAAACUUGACAUUUUGACCUAUACCCACAAUGAACCAUUGGGGAAAAUCCUGUUUUGUCUAGAAAAGAAUAGCUCAACAUUGAGAAAUAGAUUAAAACUACCUAGCGAGUAAAAGCUUUGGGAAUUUUGACUUGUAACCACAAUGUACUAUUGUAAAUAAAUCUUUUUUUGACAUUUAGAAAUAUCUCAAUAAUUAGAAACAAAUUAAAAUUACUUAAUGAGUAAAACCUUUGGGAAUUUUGACAUGUACCAUUGGAAAAAGUCCAUAUUUGGUCAUUUAGAAAUAUCUCGAAAUUUAGUAGCAAAUUAAAACUACCUAAUGAGUCAAACUUUUGGGGAUUUUGACUUGUAACCACAAUGUACCAUCGGUAAACAAAAUCACAUAGAAAUAUCUCAACGCUUGGGAACAAACUAAAACUUGACAUUUUGACCUAUACCCACAAUGAACCAUUGGUGAAAAUCCUGUUUUGUCUAGAAAAGAAUAGCUCAACAUUGAGAAAUAGAUUAAAACUACCUAGCGAGUAAAAGCUUUGGGAAUUUUGACUUGUAACCACAAUGUACUAUUGUAAAUAAAUCUUUUUUUGACAUUUAGAAAUAUCUCAAUAAUUAGAAACAAAUUAAAAUUACUUAAUGAGUAAAACCUUUGGGAAUUUUGACAUGUACCAUUGGAAAAAGUCCAUAUUUGGUCAUUUAGAAAUAUCUCGAAAUUUAGUAGCAAAUUAAAACUACCUAAUGAGUCAAACUUUUGGGGAUUUUGACUUGUAACCACAAUGUACCAUCGGUAAACAAAAUCACAUAAAAAUAUCUCAACGCUUGGGAACAAACUAAAACUUGACAUUUUGACCUAUACCCACAAUGAACCAUUGGGGAAAAUCCUGUUUUGUCUAGAAAAGAAUAGCUCAACAUUGAGAAAUAGAUUAAAACUACCUAGCGAGUAAAAGCUUUGGGAAUUUUGACUUGUAACCACAAUGUACUAUUGUAAAUAAAUCUUUUUUUGACAUUUAGAAAUAUCUCAAUAAUUAGAAACAAAUUAAAAUUACUUAAUGAGUAAAACCUUUGGGAAUUUUGACAUGUACCAUUGGAAAAAGUCCAUAUUUGGUCAUUUAGAAAUAUCUCGAAAUUUAGUAGCAAAUUAAAACUACCUAAUGAGUCAAACUUUUGGGGAUUUUGACUUGUAACCACAAUGUACCAUCGGUAAACAAAAUCACAUAAAAAUAUCUCAACGCUUGGGAACAAACUAAAACUUGACAUUUUGACCUAUACCCACAAUGAACCAUUGGGGAAAAUCCUGUUUUGUCUAGAAAAGAAUAGCUCAACAUUGAGAAAUAGAUUAAAACUACCUAGCGAGUAAAAGCUUUGGGAAUUUUGACUUGUAACCACAAUGUACUAUUGUAAAUAAAUCUUUUUUUGACAUUUAGAAAUAUCUCAAUAAUUAGAAACAAAUUAAAAUUACUUAAUGAGUAAAACCUUUGGGAAUUUUGACAUGUACCAUUGGAAAAAGUCCAUAUUUGGUCAUUUAGAAAUAUCUCGAAAUUUAGUAGCAAAUUAAAACUACCUAAUGAGUCAAACUUUUGGGGAUUUUGACUUGUAACCACAUUGUACCAUCGGUAAACAAAAUCACAUAAAAAUAUCUCAACGCUUGGGAACAAACUAAAACUUGACAUUUUGACCUAUACCCACAAUGAACCAUUGGGGAAAAUCCUGUUUUGUCUAGAAAAGAAUAGCUCAACAUUGAGAAAUAGAUUAAAACUACCUAGCGAGUAAAACCUUUGGGAAUUUUGACUUGUAACCACAAUGUACUAUUGUAAAUAAAUCUUUUUUUGACAUUUAGAAAUAUCUCAAUAAUUAGAAACAAAUUAAAAUGACUUUAAUGAGGAAAACUUUGGGGAAUUUUUACUUGUAACGACAAUGCACCAUUGUUAAAAAAAUCUUAUUUUGGUCAUAUAGAAAUAUCUCAAAAUUUAGACAAAUUAAAACUUAUUAAUGUGUAAAACCUGUGGGAAUUUUUACUUGUAACAACAAUGUACCAUUGAGAAAGGUCAUUUUUGUCAUUUAAAAAUGACUCAAAAUUGUGAAACAAAUUAAAACUACUUAAUGAGGAAAACUUGUGGGAAUUUGACUUGUAACGAGAAUGUAACAUUGGAAAUAAAUCCAUUGUUGUCAUUUAAAAAUAUCUUUAAAAAAUUAAGAAACAAAUAAAAACUACCUUAUGAAUAAAACAUUUGGAAUUUUGACUUGUAACGACAUUGCACCAUUGUGAUAAAAUCUGAUUUUUGCCAUGAGUAAAACUUGUGUGAAUUUUGACUUGUAAAAAAAAUAUACCAUUAAGAAAAAGUCCGAUAACAAUAUCGCAACGCUUAGGAACAAAUUGAAACUACUUAAUGAGCAAAGAAAUUGACAUUUUGACCUGUACCGACAAUGUACCAUUGUAAAAAAUCCUGUUUUGUCAUUUUAAAAUAUCAUGAAAGUUAGAAACUAAUUAAAAUUAAUUAAUGAGUAAAACUUGUGGGAAUUUCGUCUUGUAACGACAAUACACCUUUGAAAAAAUUCUUUUUUGUAUUGUUUAUGUGUAAAACACAUUCAUAUUUAAUGUAAAGUAAGUUCCAUUUAUGCAAAAUUCACUUACCGUAAAAACCGAUUAUAUCAAUACCGAUGCUGCUGCUGAUCUGUCAGAAGUUCAGCUGUUGAUUUUGGCGGGAAUUAAUUAUGUGACGUAACAUAUGAUAUAUGACGUCAUAUAUUAGUAUUUACGUCAUGUCACGAGGCAUGUCAUGUCAUGUCAUGUUUUUGGAAACGUUUUUGGAAACGCGUUUGUGUUACAUAUUGUCACUAACAUGUAGGAAUGUUCCAGUAAUGUUUUUUUCAGUUAGGUUGCAACAUAAGGUUGUUGAAACAUUGGAAAACUAUUCGUAGAUAUAAAUUAUGUCGUUAUAUAAUCUAAGGUUUGUUUGUUUGUUGUAACGCCGCACUCAGCAAUAUUCCAGCAAGAUUCUAUAUGACUGCGGUCUGUAAAAUAAUCAAGUCUGGAUAUUGUAAGGUGGCCUCAUUGAAAGUAAAACGCUGAAGCAACGUUUUCUUUUGGCUCGUACAUGCAUACCAAUCUGUAUGUGUAUGUAUAUGUAGCGUAUGACAGAGUAUAUAUACGUACGAGACUUCAUUAAUAUUAAUAGUCUUAGUGUUGAACAGGUGCCGGUGCAUUUCAUUGUUUUUCACAUUAUAAGUUGAGAUAUUUUCAAUUCUAAAUCAACAAUAUGAAAUCACCUGUAGGUAUGUGGUUUAUUUGCCCCUUGGUUUACGCAGUUGGGUUUUAGAUAAACACAACGGUUGGCACACACUCGAUUAUGUGGCCGCCAAUCUGAAACUGACUUCUUACAUUAAAUGCCCGUUAUUGAGAAAAAUAUACAACUCUCUGACAAAUAUUGCCAAAAUUAGCUUCACUUGUAUCUACAGAAAGGUUUCUAUCUGGGCACAACUCCCUACACCGAGUGAACAACAACAAAUAUUAUUCACUUUUAGUUUCUUUUUCUUUUCCUGCAGUGGUUUCAAAUUAACCAUUGUUAAUAUGUGUCUUAUACAAAUGCAAAUAACACCAUAUAUAUAUAUACACACACACAUACACACACACAGCGUAACAGUAUAACUACUCUUGAAAAUCACAUGCGUGAAACCGGUUGAGUAAAUUAUACAGCUCAUCUUUGGACUUGUUUAUUAUGUAAAUAUUAUGUGUGUGUGUUAUUUUCUCAUUAGUUGUAUAUUAUUUCUAUGCACUGUACAUAUAUUUUUCACAAUAAAAAAUCGCAUAUUACCAUGUAAAGAAAUGUAUAUAGACGGCCUCAUUGGUGUAUUAAUUGUGACUAAUCCAUUUGAUUUUCCGCAUUAAAAUAUGUUUUAAUCAA
This 13308-nucleotide long non-coding RNA is filed under the name Haliotis rufescens (red abalone). Its description in RNAcentral is "uncharacterized LOC125377300, transcript variant X1". Lineage: Eukaryota; Metazoa; Mollusca; Gastropoda; Lepetellida; Haliotidae. The record is from RNAcentral.